This 644-nucleotide ribosomal RNA is filed under the name Roesleria subterranea. RNAcentral describes it as "eukaryotic LSU rRNA". It matches the Rfam family "Eukaryotic large subunit ribosomal RNA", at positions 1 to 607 of the family's 3401-position model. The record is from RNAcentral. Lineage: Eukaryota; Fungi; Ascomycota; Leotiomycetes; Helotiales.
CCGGAGGGAUGCUGGCCAACAACCCCCCAACUUUUAAGGUUGACCUCGGAUCAGGUAGGGAUACCCGCUGAACUUAAGCAUAUCAAUAAGCGGAGGAAAAGAAACCAACAGGGAUUACCUCAGUAACGGCGAGUGAAGCGGUAACAGCUCAAAUUUGAAAUCUGGCCCUUUCAGGGUCCGAGUUGUAAUUUGUAGAAGAUGCUUCGGGUGUGGCUCCGGUCUAAGUUCCUUGGAACAGGACGUCAUAGAGGGUGAGAAUCCCGUAUGUGACUGGCUGCCUUCGCCCAUGUGAAGCUCUUUCGACGAGUCGAGUUGUUUGGGAAUGCAGCUCUAAAUGGGUGGUAUAUUUCAUCUAAAGCUAAAUAUUGGCCAGAGACCGAUAGCGCACAAGUAGAGUGAUCGAAAGAUGAAAAGCACUUUGGAAAGAGAGUUAAACAGUACGUGAAAUUGUUGAAAGGGAAGCGCUUGCAACCAGACUUGCACGCCGUCGAUCAUCCUGGGUUCUCCCUGGUGCACUCGGCGGCGUUCAGGCCAGCAUCGGUUUCGGUGGUUGGAUAAAGGCCUUGGGAAUGUGGCUCCUCUCGGGGAGUGUUAUAGCCCUCGGUGCAAUGCAGCCUACCGGGACCGAGGACCGCGCUCGGCUA